UUGUGUGUGUGUGUGUGUGGUGGUGGUUGACGUUUCACCCCUAGUUUCAUGUGUUGUGAACCAGCAUACUAUUAAUGUGAAGCAUCAAGCAAGUGUUAGUGCUGAAACGUCAAGGCUCCCCGCAUUUGUCACUAUCUGGUGCAGUAAGUGUAGGAAUAGUCAACUAUCAAGAUUCGGGGUGUUGUGGUACACAAUCUAGGUAAAGUCCCACUCGCUAGUAAAGUCCUGAAGUAAUCUACUCGGUUGCUCUUAAUUUGACGAGUCACUGAUUAUACUGAGCAGUUUGUCCCUAGAUCAUGGAAAGGUUGAGCUCUCAUUUGGUAUUAAGAAUGAUUAAAUGAGAGCAGGUGAAGGAUGUUCCUUGAUUGAUGAUUGGUAACUUUAUUAUUGCAGCAGUGUAUAUAAUAAGGGAGAAGGUCGGGUCAUGCCGGCGUUCGGUGUUGGUGUUAAAGAUGAAUAUAACGAGAGUGAUGGACGCGAAACUCUAAGGUUCGUGUUCAGAAUAGAAUGAAGAAUACCGGUGAAGAAAGGGAGGUUUGGAUUCAACUUUAAAAAGGUCCUGCCACUACUGAAGGAGAAUCGAACCAGCGUGUCCUAACCCUCACAACCUGCGGCAGGAAACUGGGUUUCUUGCAAAGCUACACUUCCUCGGAGGAAUUGGACCCUGCCUCGCACCAGUUCUGCCCUGACAAAACAUGGUUCCAUCCAGAGGGAGGACACAACGGAGGAAUUAGACCCUGCCUCGCACCAACUCUGCCCUGACAACACGUGGUUCCAUCCAGAGGACACACUACGAGGAAUUGGACGCUGCCUUGCACCAGCUCUACCCUGGUAACGGGUGGUGCCAUUCCGGGAGGGAGGACAUUGUCUUGCUGCACCUUUCGCAGAGGAAUUGGACCCUACCUUGACAAAUAUGCGGUGCCAUCCAGGAAGGGAGGACAGACUGCCUCACGUACUUGUCAACCAAAUACAAAUACAUGUAUAUACUUUUGUAAUAUAAUCUGAUGUGAAUAUACCCAUAUAUGUAUGUCAUCAAUUUCAUGUGAUGUACCCACAUAACUGGUGUUUGUACUUAAAAUAAACCAUGAGCAAGAAAGUGGA
Long non-coding RNA from Portunus trituberculatus (swimming crab), 1101 nucleotides. RefSeq lists it as uncharacterized. The transcript has 2 exons. NCBI's taxonomy places the organism in Eukaryota, Metazoa, Arthropoda, Malacostraca, Decapoda, Portunidae. The record is from RefSeq and is a predicted model, not a curated record.